GAGGGACGUCUGCAGUUGUCACACACUGAGAGACACACCGGUGUCAAGCUGAGAGACCCUUGUUUCUACCUGGGGCUCGGCAGAAGCAUUUACUGGUCGGUCUGGAGUUUUUAGAACCCCCCUCCCCAGUCCCUCACAGAUUCUCUGCGACUCCUGCCCCUGCCAUGCGUCUGAAAAAGGACAUUGUGCUGCGAGGAGGAACGUUCCAACCUGCCCAGGCUUGCUCCCAUCUCAGCUCGCACACAAGUCCUAUAAGCAACCGUCCUCAGGCUGUGGCCGGCAGAC
Gasterosteus aculeatus aculeatus (three-spined stickleback) is the source of this 285-nucleotide long non-coding RNA. NCBI's taxonomy places the organism in Eukaryota, Metazoa, Chordata, Actinopteri, Perciformes, Gasterosteidae. The record is from Ensembl.